RNAcentral lists this ribosomal RNA (475 nucleotides) under Streptomyces rubrogriseus. Its description in RNAcentral is "bacterial SSU rRNA". It matches the Rfam family "Bacterial small subunit ribosomal RNA", at positions 1 to 490 of the family's 1533-position model. Lineage: Bacteria; Bacillati; Actinomycetota; Actinomycetes; Kitasatosporales; Streptomycetaceae. The record is from RNAcentral.
CAUUCACGGAGAGUUUGAUCCUGGCUCAGGACGAACGCUGGCGGCGUGCUUAACACAUGCAAGUCGAACGAUGAACCACUUCGGUGGGGAUUAGUGGCGAACGGGUGAGUAACACGUGGGCAAUCUGCCCUGCACUCUGGGACAAGCCCUGGAAACGGGGUCUAAUACCGGAUACUGACCCUCGCAGGCAUCUGCGAGGGUCGAAAGCUCCGGCGGUGCAGGAUGAGCCCGCGGCCUAUCAGCUUGUUGGUGAGGUAAUGGCUCACCAAGGCGACGACGGGUAGCCGGCCUGAGAGGGCGACCGGCCACACUGGGACUGAGACACGGCCCAGACUCCUACGGGAGGCAGCAGUGGGGAAUAUUGCACAAUGGGCGAAAGCCUGAUGCAGCGACGCCGCGUGAGGGAUGACGGCCUUCGGGUUGUAAACCUCUUUCAGCAGGGAAGAAGCGAAAGUGACGGUACCUGCAGAAGAAG